RNAcentral lists this long non-coding RNA (5430 nucleotides) under Vitis vinifera (wine grape). RNAcentral describes it as "long non-coding RNA (VVIN_LNC007763)". The record is from RNAcentral. Lineage: Eukaryota; Viridiplantae; Streptophyta; Magnoliopsida; Vitales; Vitaceae.
GGGGAAUCUGGGGAAGGUAGCUGGAAAUCUAUAAUCUUUGUGGUGGCUGGCGGGCAACAAUUUGUGGGCGUUACACCCUCAGGCACGGUGGCGGCACCACACUUGUUUACAUCCGGUGCCUGGAUGGGAGCCCCAAAGGCUAAUGGCUCAGUGGCGCCGAGGCCGCCAGCGGCACCAUACAGCCCUCCUAUGCCAAGAAGCACAUUCCUCCUAUCUAACUUCCCUGGGGAAGUUUCUCGAAUGUCGGAGGUAGAAUCCGAGUUUGGAUCACCAUUUGUAGAAUUGCACGACACUUUACUAGGAGCAGAUCUGUGGUUUCGAUUUCUGACUCCCCCGAGAAACCCUGUGAAACAAGGGAGAAGGUGACAAGGCCGAAAUGUUGGAGGUGGUGACGGUGGCGGUGGCGGUGGCGGUGGAGGUUGUGAGCUGCCAAGGCAAAGAAGCCAUAGCUUUAGAGGAGUUACGGGUGAUAAGUGAGACCGCUCUAUGGCCUCAGUCUCUGUACAGAAUGAACUGGGGUAGGUAGUACGUAUUCUUACCUUAGGGAUGUCGAGAAAACACUUGCCGUAGAAAAGUAAAUAAAUAAAAAGCUGAAAAGGACAAGGAAAACUGAUUUUCUGCACUGUAUAGGCCCCCCAUGGAAAUCUCCCAUUAUCCAUUUGGAAUCAUCCUAUUCCUUGCUUUAUCUUCAAUAUUGAUAAAUGCUGCUUCUUCAUGGAGUUAACAGCAACGAAAAAUAGUUCCUUAAUUAAUUAUUUGUCGAGAUUAAGAACAGACACUUCGAUUUUCCUCAAACAAAACACCAUGCACGUAUCUCUUUGUUGGAAACUUACACAUUUAGCUUCGCCAUUGAUAACACAAACACCCACUGCCUGCAUCUUCAUUUAUCACGUAACUGCAUAAAUGCUUAUUUAAAUUACAUGAAUAUAUAAUUUUAAUCUCAAAAAAAAAUGCAGCAACUCCCCACAUGAUUUUUUUUUCCCUUUUUUGUUUUUCUCUCUUGAUAUUUAGAGAUAAAGGCAGCUAAGAUUCGCCACGUUAUAUUCCUCUACGAUAGAGAAACCUUUGUCACUCCUCUCACUGGGUCAACAGUAGAUAUCAUCUUUGUGGUCCAUAAACAACGUGACAUUUGGAUUAUUAGUCUGUAUUUUUAUGAGUCUUCCGUGCAUCAAUUUUUUUGGUAUUUUAGAUAAUGGUAGAUUUUGAGGAAGAGAAAGACAACAUGACAUUUAAUUCUUGUUUUAUACUACAAACUUGUGCUAGAUAUUAUAAGAAGGGUUUUGAGUAUGAUCAACCUAAGCGUUUCCUAAUUAAAAAAUAAUUUUCUUUUCCAAAAAUAGAACUUAAAAACCAUUUUUAAAAGUUUAAAACGUGACUAAUUUUAUUAAUUUAAUAAAUAUUUCUGAUAAAAAUUAUUUUUUUAGUUAUUUAAUAUAUUAUCCAAAACACCUAAAUUAUGUACAAUGGAAGUCAUAUAAGUUAAAUGAUCAAAUUAAUGUCAAUACAUAAAAAGGGGUAACAAAUAAAAUAUCAUAACUAAAACUUAAUUUGUUACUUUAUGUUUUAUUUGUAGGACUCAAUCCCAAUAGUUAUAACAAGUAUAAAUUGUUUUCCAUUAUUUUUUUAUUUUAAUAAUCGUGGAUUUCUGAUCCAGUUUAUACACACCUCAACUAAUCCCACGGGGAGCAAACCUAAUACCGGACCAACUGAGCUACCCCUCAAGCCUAUUGUUUUGCAUCAUUUUUACAUCGUAUAAUUAUAUAACAAGUAGUCAUCAAAUGUAUUACAAAUAGUUAUUGAUAUUAAAUCUAAAAAAAAAAGGGUAUUUAAAUUGGCAUUUGCUAUGUAAAUAGCAUAAAAGAAAUUAGGAAAAGUAGGAAGAAGAAAAAUAGUAUACUUCCAAUUAUUGAUUUGAAAAUCUAGCCCAUGAUCUUGGAUAUCCCAUAAUAUAUUUAGCAACUUCUUGAAUCCUCUUAAAGAAACCAAAAACUCUUUUCUAAAUCUAAUAUAUUUGUUUAAUUUUGUUUAAAGAACUUAUAAUUAAAAAAAUAACAUAAAAAUGAGAUAAAUAUUAUUUCUUAUAAAAAAAUAUUUUAAAUUGUACAAAAAGUUGUUUGAUUUUUUAUGAAUUAUUUAUAACCCCCCAUAUUAUCUUAUAAAAGUUGUAAAUUUAACUUCAAUUUCCACUUCAAUCUAAAGCAAAUAAAAGGCGCAGGAAACUAACACCAAUUAAAAACCCCUUAAAUUUAAACCAAACAGCUCUAAAUUAAUAAAAGACUUGACGGGAGAGUACAGAGAAGUCUCACAUUUUCCAUUAGUCACAUAAAGAUGUGACUUACCUGAUACAUACAUAUAAUGGAUAAUCAUUGAAAGGUGGGAUCAAUCGGAAACAAACUCGAUCUCAAUUCCACCAAUGGUGACAUCAUCGCCCCCAGCACGAGGGACUAUAGUCACGAUCACACUCUCAUCAUCUUCGGCUCCCAAGUCCUCUAACAGCUCAUUUAUCGCCAACCUCAGAUUGGUCUUCGUCUUCAUUUCUUUCAUAUGCUUGUGUGGUACGUUCACAAAGCUUCCUGCAAACUCACUAUUCUUAGGCCUACUCACUGAAUAAUCUUCGUCGUUGAUGUACACAUCAAACUUCACGAAAUUCUCUCUAUCUAGCUCUAUUCCUUUUAUCAGUAACACCUCUUCCUCGUCCUCUUUCUCCUUCUUGCUUCUUGAUUUCUUUGGCCUUGGAACUUCUACUCUUAUCACUGAGUUAAGAGCUUUUGGGAAGUCUCCGAUGCUGCUGAUCGUCGUCUUUGGGAGUUCGGCCGCUUUCGCUACUCCCGACUUGGAACUUUUGGUGGUCGUCUUCGCUUUGGCCUUCGUAUUUUUUGGUAGCCAUGGGAUUGAAUAUCCUGAUAUUGGUAUCUCAGCUUGGAAGUGUCGACACAGUCCGAGACCUUGACUUUAACAAGUNNNNNNNNNNNNNNNNNNNNNNNNNNNNNNNNNNNNNNNNNNNNNNNNNNNNNNNNNNNNNNNNNNNNNNNNNNNNNNNNNNNNNNNNNNNNNNNNNNNNCAUUGAAGUNGAGAUAGUAACGGUGGAAAGGGAGGAAAAGCCAUGAAGCAUGAACCUGGAGUUCUAGGUCGGUAUACCCAACCUGAUCAUAAGCCCCUUGGCAAUAGGUGCAAUGGACAUUAGCCUGUUGCUUGAAACUACGCGGAUCAUCAUCAGGAAGAGCUUUCUGCAGCUCAAUGGCCUUUUUAUACUUGGCUAAGUACUCUUUGCUGACCAAGUGAGCAGCUGGCCUGGUACGCAUGGGGGAACCUGAGGAAGGUAGCUGGAAAUCUAUAAUCUUUGUGGUGACUGGCGGGCAACAAUUGUGGGCGUUACACCAUCAGGCACGGUGGCGGUACCACACUUGGAUAUAUCCGGUGCCUGGAUGGGAGCCCCAAAGGCUAAUGGCUUAGUGGCGCCGAGACCGGCAGCAGCACCAUACAGCCCUCCUAUGCCAAGAAGCACAUUCCUCCUAUCUAACUUCCCUGGGGAAGUUUCUCGAAUGUCGGAGGUAGAAUCCGAGUUUGGAUCACCAUUCGCAGCAUUGCACGACACCUUACUAGGAGCAAAUCUGCGGCUUCGGUUUCUGGCUAUGGGGACAUGAGAAACCCUGUGAAACAAGGGAGAAGGUGGCAAGGCUGAAAUGUUGGUGGUGUUGGCGAUGGCGGUGGAGGUUGUGAGCGACCAAGGCAAAGAAGCCAUAGCUUUAGAGGAGAAGUGAUGAGUGAUAACGCGCUAAGGCCUCGGUCUCCAUAUAUAAUGAAGAGGGGUAGGCAUUUUUACCUUGGAGAAUCGAGAUGCUGGGAAAAUGCUUGUCGUAGAAAAGUCGAUAAAUAAAAAGAUGAGAAGGACAAGGAAAAUUGAUUUUCUGCAUCCGCGUGGGCCCCGGAAAUCUCCCACUAUCCAUUUGUAGCCUUGCUUUUGCUACAUGCUUAUCUUCAAUAUUGACUGUAAAUGCUGCAUCGUCGUAUGGAUUACAAAUUUAUAAGUGCGAAUUUUAUAAGUUUAAGAUUUCAGACACGUGUUGUGAGUGCAGAGAAAAAGGAGGGGUGGAUUUUUGGGAUUUAUGUUUGUGGUUUAUUAGACGACGUCAUAUGGAUUAUAAGUGCGAAUCUUAUAACUUUAAGAUUUCAGACACGUGUUGUAUUGGUUGGCAAUCAUAAGAUUCCGUACCUACCUUGAUAAAAUUAUGUUAUAUUAAAUAUAAAGUAAAUUGUUUUAAUAAAAUUAAACAAAAAUAUUUUUAUAUCAAAUUAAAAAUAUCAAUAGUAUAAUUUCAUAUAUUAUUUUUUAAAAAAAUCAUAUAAGUUUAUUAACUACUUACAUAUUUUUAAUAAAUAUAAAAUAAAAAUAAUAUAAUACAUUUAUUUUAAAAAAUAAGUUUAUGACCAUAGUUGAUAAUUACAACUUUAAAAUCAAAUUCAAAAUAAUAGUUAUCAAUUAUGAUUUUNNNNNNNNNNNNNNNNNNNNNNNNNNNNNNNNNNNNNNNNNNNNNNNNNNNNNNNNNNNNNNNNNNNNNNNNNNNNNNNNNNNNNNNNNNNNNNNNNNNNAGCCAUGAAGCAUGAACCUGGAGUUCUAGGUCGGUAUACCCAACCUGAUCAUAAGCCCCUUGGCAAUAGGCGCAAUGGACAUUGGCCUGUUGCUUGAAACUACGCGGAUCAUCAUCAGGAAGAGCUUUCUGCAGCUCAAUGGCCUUUUUAUACUUGGCUAAGUACUCUUUGCUGACCAAGUGAGCAGCUGGCCUGGUACGCAUGGGGGAAUCUGAGGAAGGUAGCUGGAAAGGUAUAGGCUUUGUGGUGACUGGCGGGCAACAAUUUGUGGGAAUUACACCAUUAGGCACGGUGGCGGUACCACACUUGCGUAUAUCCGGUGCCUGGAUGGGAGCCCCAAAGGCUAAUGGCUUAGUGGCGCCGAGACCGGCAGCAGCACCAUACAGCCCUCCUAUGCCAAGAAGCACAUUCCUCCUAUCUAACUUCCCUGGGGAAGUUUCUCGAAUGUCGGAGGUAGAAUCCGAGUUUGGAUCACCAUUCGCAGCAUUGCACGACACCUUACUAGGAGCAAAUCUGCGGCUUCGGUUUCUGGCUAUGGGGACAUGAGAAACCCUGUGAAACAAGGGAGAAGGUGGCAAGGCUGAAAUGUUGGUGGUGUUGGCGAUGGCGGUGGAGGUUGUGAGCGACCAAGGCAAAGAAGCCAUAGCUUUAGAGGAGAAGUGAUGAGUGAUAACGCGCUAAGGCCUCGGUCUCCAUAUAUAAUGAAGAGGGGUAGGCAUUUUUACCUUGGAGAAUCGAGAUGCUGGGAAAAUGCUUGUCGUAGAAAAGUCGAUAAAUAAAAAGAUGAGAAGGACAAGGAAAAUUGAUUUUCUGCAUCCGCGUGGGCCCCGGAAAUCUCCC